This 304-nucleotide ribosomal RNA is filed under the name Cellana denticulata. Its description in RNAcentral is "partial 12S ribosomal RNA". The record is from RNAcentral. Lineage: Eukaryota; Metazoa; Mollusca; Gastropoda; Nacellidae.
ACUUUAACCCAUUUAGGGGAGCUUGUCCUUUAAUUCGAUAACCCACGACAAUCUUAUUUAUCUUAGAACACUCUCAGCUUGUAUACCGUCGUCAUAAGUUAACCUUGAAAAGAAUAAAAGUUAACAAUAAAGAUUUUAAAAAAAUUUCUUACAGGUCAGAUCAAGGUGCAGCUAACAGAUAAAGACAGAGAUGAGCUACAAUUAACAACUUUUAUAUGGAAUUUUUAAAUAAAAAUAAAAAAGAAACAGGACUUAAAAGUAAUUAGUAAUAACAAAUAUUAAUAAAUAAGGUAAUAAAGUGUGC